This 253-nucleotide ribosomal RNA is filed under the name uncultured bacterium. Its description in RNAcentral is "partial 16S ribosomal RNA". It matches the Rfam family "Bacterial small subunit ribosomal RNA", at positions 524 to 776 of the family's 1533-position model. The record is from RNAcentral.
UACGAAGGGGGCGAGCGUUGUUCGGAAUUACUGGGCGUAAAGGGCGCGUAGGCGGCUUGCCAAGUCAGGCGUGAAAGCCCUGGGCUCAACCUGGGGACUGCGCUUGAUACGGCAUGGCUAGAGGAUGGAAGAGGGUCGCGGAAUUCCCAGUGUAGAGGUGAAAUUCGUAGAUAUUGGGAAGAACACCGGUGGCGAAGGCGGCGACCUGGUCCAUUACUGACGCUGAGGCGCGACAGCGUGGGGAGCAAACAGG